This 82-nucleotide transfer RNA is filed under the name Actinotignum schaalii. Its description in RNAcentral is "tRNA-Leu". It matches the Rfam family "tRNA". Rfam says of the family: Transfer RNA (tRNA) molecules are approximately 80 nucleotides in length. Their secondary structure includes four short double-helical elements and three loops (D, anti-codon, and T loops). Further hydrogen bonds mediate the characteristic L-shaped molecular structure. tRNAs have two regions of fundamental functional importance: the anti-codon, which is responsible for specific mRNA codon recognition, and the 3' end, to which the tRNAs corresponding amino acid is attached (by aminoacyl-tRNA synthetases). tRNAs cope with the degeneracy of the genetic code in two manners: having more than one tRNA (with a specific anti-codon) for a particular amino acid; and 'wobble' base-pairing, i.e. permitting non-standard base-pairing at the 3rd anti-codon position. Lineage: Bacteria; Bacillati; Actinomycetota; Actinomycetes; Actinomycetales; Actinomycetaceae. The record is from RNAcentral. RNAcentral also lists the same sequence under 5 other names.
GCGCGCGUGGCGGAAUUGGUAGACGCGCUGGAUUUAGGUUCCAGUGCCUUUGGGCGUGAGGGUUCGAGUCCCUCCGUGCGCA